UACGGGAGGCAGCAGUGGGGAAUAUUGCACAAUGGGCGCAAGCCUGAUGCAGCCAUGCCGCGUGUAUGAAGAAGGCCUUCGGGUUGUAAAGUACUUUCAGUCGUGAGGAAGGUGUUAAGGUUAAUAACCUUAGCAAUUGACGUUAGCGACAGAAGAAGCACCGGCUAACUCCGUGCCAGCAGCCGCGGUAAUACGGAGGGUGCGAGCGUUAAUCGGAAUUACUGGGCGUAAAGGGCACGCAGGCGGUUAAUUAAGUUGGAUGUGAAAUCCCCGGGCUUAACCUGGGAAUGGCAUUCAAGACUGGUUAGCUAGAGUCUUGUAGAGGGGGUAGAAUUCCAUGUGUAGCGGUGAAAUGCGUAGAGAUGUGGAGGAAUACCGGUGGCGAAGGCGGCCCCUGGGACAAAGACUGACGCUCAUGUGCGAAGGCGUGGGGAGCAAACAGGGAUUAGAUACC
Molecule: ribosomal RNA, 454 nt
Filed under: uncultured bacterium
Lineage: Bacteria
Description: bacterial SSU rRNA
Rfam family: Bacterial small subunit ribosomal RNA
Source: RNAcentral